Molecule: ribosomal RNA, 403 nt
Filed under: Verrucomicrobiota bacterium
Lineage: Bacteria; Pseudomonadati; Verrucomicrobiota
Description: Verrucomicrobia bacterium partial 16S ribosomal RNA
Rfam family: Bacterial small subunit ribosomal RNA
Source: RNAcentral
UGGGGAAUAUUGCACAAUGGGCGCAAGCCUGAUGCAGCAACGCCGCGUGAACGAUGAAGGUCUUCGGAUCGUAAAGUUCUGUUGCAGGGGAAGGUAAUGACGGUACCCUGUGAGGAAGCCCCGGCUACCUACGUGCCAGCAGCCGCGGUAAUACGUAGGGGGCUAGCGUUAUCCGGAUUUACUGGGCGUAAAGGGUGCGUAGGUGGUCUUUCAAGUCGGUGGUUAAAGGCUACGGCUCAACCGUAGUUAGCCUCCGAAACUGGAAGACUUGAGUGCAGGAGAGGAAAGUGGAAUUCCCAGUGUAGCGGUGAAAUGCGUAGAUAUUGGGAGGAACACCAGUAGCGAAGGCGGCUUUCUGGACUGCAACUGACACUGAGGCACGAAAGCGUGGGUAGCAAACAGG